RNAcentral lists this ribosomal RNA (774 nucleotides) under uncultured Neocallimastigales. RNAcentral describes it as "partial large subunit ribosomal RNA". It matches the Rfam family "Eukaryotic large subunit ribosomal RNA", at positions 24 to 645 of the family's 3401-position model. The record is from RNAcentral. Lineage: Eukaryota; Fungi; Neocallimastigomycota; Neocallimastigomycetes; Neocallimastigales.
UAUGUGAUCGUCUCUCGCAUAUCAAUAAGCGGAGGAAAAGAAACUAACAAGGAUUCCCCUAGUAACGGCGAGUGAAGCGGGAAGAGCUCAAAUUUGAAAUCUUAAAGGGUUUCCCUUUACGAAUUGUAGUUUAAAGAAGUGUUUUCUGUUGAGGUUUUGGUAAAAGUUCUUUGGAAUAGGACAUCAUAGAGGGUGAGAAUCCCGUAUUUGACCUUUACUUUCAGCUUUGUGAUACACUUUCAAAGAGUCGGAUUGUUUGGGAAUGCAGUCCAAAAUGGGUGGUAAAUUUCAUCUAAAGCUAAAUAUUGGCGAGAGACCGAUAGCGAACAAGUACCGUGAGGGAAAGAUGAAAAGAACUUUGAAAAGAGAGUUAAACAGUACGUGAAAUUGUCAAAAGGGAAGCGUUUGACACCAGUGUUGUUUUUCUGAGAAUCAAUUAAAGAACUGUUUAUGCUAAGCUGUUUAGACUUUAUCAGCUAUCUGUUUAGUUUUGAGCUUUUCUUUAAUGCACUUUUCAGUUAACAAGUCAACAUCAAUUUCUUUUGCUGUAAAAAAGCUUGAGGAAGGUGGCUUGAGAUUCGUCUUAAGUGUUUAUAGCCUCUUGCCUAUGCAGUCGGAGAGAUUGAGGUCUGCAGCGUAGAUCCUUCGGGGCUAAAUGCAUUUGUGCUAAGUUAUAGCAUUUUAUAGACAACUUGUUGACUAUGAUUUGUCUUGUAGCUUACUCGCUUAUGUUAUUUUACCUACGCUUAGGAUGUUGAGGUCAUCGUAUCGCGC